GAUGAACGCUGGCGGCGUGCCUAAUACAUGCAAGUCGAGCGAACAGACGAGGAGCUUGCUCCUCUGACGUUAGCGGCGGACGGGUGAGUAACACGUGGAUAACCUACCUAUAAGACUGGGAUAACUUCGGGAAACCGGAGCUAAUACCGGAUAAUAUAUUGAACCGCAUGGUUCAAUAGUGAAAGACGGUUUUGCUGUCACUUCUAGAUGGAUCCGCGCCGCAUUAGCUAGUUGGUAAGGUAACGGCUUACCAAGGCGACGAUGCGUAGCCGACCUGAGAGGGUGAUCGGCCACCCUGGAACUGGGACACGGUCCAGACUCCUACGGGAGGCAGCAGUAGGGAAUCUGCCGCAAUGGGCGAAAGCCUGACGGAGCAACGCCGCGUGAGUGAUGAAGGUCUUCGGAUCGUAAAACUCUGUUAUUAGGGAAGAACAAAUGUGUAAGUAACUAUGCACGUCUUGACGGUACCUAAUCAGAAAGCCACGGCUAACUACGUG
This 497-nucleotide ribosomal RNA is filed under the name uncultured bacterium. RNAcentral describes it as "partial 16S ribosomal RNA". It matches the Rfam family "Bacterial small subunit ribosomal RNA", at positions 28 to 507 of the family's 1533-position model. The record is from RNAcentral.